GUGGGGAAUAUUGGACAAUGGGCGCAAGCCUGAUCCAGCCAUGCCGCGUGUGUGAAGAAGGCCUUUUGGUUGUAAAGCACUUUAAGCGAGGAGGAGGCUCCUUUAGUUAAUACCUAAAGAGAGUGGACGUUACUCGCAGAAUAAGCGCCGGCUAACUCUGUGCCAGCAGCCGCGGUAAUACAGAGGGUGCGAGCGUUAAUCGGAUUUACUGGGCGUAAAGCGUGCGUAGGCGGCUUUUUAAGUCGGAUGUGAAAUCCCUGAGCUUAACUUAGGAAUUGCAUUCGAUACUGGUUGGCUAGAGUAUGGGAGAGGAUGGUAGAAUUCCAGGUGUAGCGGUGAAAUGCGUAGAGAUCUGGAGGAAUACCGAUGGCGAAGGCAGCCAUCUGGCCUAAUACUGACACUGAGGUGCGAAAGCAUGGGGAGCAAACAGGAUUAGAAACCCGUGUAGUCC
RNAcentral lists this ribosomal RNA (451 nucleotides) under uncultured bacterium. Its description in RNAcentral is "partial 16S ribosomal RNA". It matches the Rfam family "Bacterial small subunit ribosomal RNA", at positions 354 to 796 of the family's 1533-position model. The record is from RNAcentral.